GGAGGGGUGGCCGAGUCCGGCUUAAGGCGGCGGUCUUGAAAAUCGCUCUCCGACUUAAUGUCGGAGCGGGGGUUCAAAUCCCUCCCCCUCCG
RNAcentral lists this transfer RNA (92 nucleotides) under Candidatus Omnitrophota bacterium. RNAcentral describes it as "tRNA-Ser". It matches the Rfam family "tRNA". Rfam says of the family: Transfer RNA (tRNA) molecules are approximately 80 nucleotides in length. Their secondary structure includes four short double-helical elements and three loops (D, anti-codon, and T loops). Further hydrogen bonds mediate the characteristic L-shaped molecular structure. tRNAs have two regions of fundamental functional importance: the anti-codon, which is responsible for specific mRNA codon recognition, and the 3' end, to which the tRNAs corresponding amino acid is attached (by aminoacyl-tRNA synthetases). tRNAs cope with the degeneracy of the genetic code in two manners: having more than one tRNA (with a specific anti-codon) for a particular amino acid; and 'wobble' base-pairing, i.e. permitting non-standard base-pairing at the 3rd anti-codon position. Lineage: Bacteria; Pseudomonadati; Candidatus Omnitrophota. The record is from RNAcentral.